RNAcentral lists this long non-coding RNA (37319 nucleotides) under Solanum tuberosum (potato). RNAcentral describes it as "long non-coding RNA (STUB_LNC009479)". Lineage: Eukaryota; Viridiplantae; Streptophyta; Magnoliopsida; Solanales; Solanaceae. The record is from RNAcentral.
AGAUGGUGAAGAAAAUCCAAAGGUACUUGUGAAUACAUUUGAUGCAUUAGAGCUAGAGCCACUCAAAGCUAUUGAAAAAUACAAUUUAAUUGGAAUUGGACCAUUGAUUCCUUCAUCAUUCUUGGGUGGAAAAGAUUCAUUGGAAUCUUCAUUUGGUGGUGAUCUUUUUCAAAAGUCAAAUGAUGACUACAUGAAAUGGUUAAACACAAAGGCCAGAAGUUUUUAUUUUUAUAAUAAUUGAAUUAAAAAAAAUAAUAAUAACAGAAACAUAUCCAAGACAACUCAUGUCAUGCAUGACAAAUUCUGAAAUUGGGCUUACUGGCUACUGCAUGAAAGGUAUGGCUCACUAACAAAUAUAAAAUACUAGUGCCCAUAACGAUGUGAUGGAGUAGCGAGUUUACUCUGUCUUUAGUUAGAGGUCUCGAUUUUCCUUGAAGUCUUAACACAUCCAUCUUUAGGAUGUUUUGUACGUCUCGCACUGUGGAUGGAAUUCGACUCUGGAGAGCCUGUCGUCAGGCGUACCUGUGGUGGCAUUUCCUCAUUGGACAGAUCAAGGGACUAAUGCAAAAUUGAUUGAAGAUGUUUGGAAGACAGGUGUCAGGAUGAGAGUGAGUGAAGAUGGUGUGGUUGAGAGUGAAGAGACAAAAAGGUGCAUAGAAAUUGUAAUGGAUGGUGGAGAAAAAGGAGAAGAAAUGAGAAAGAAUGCACAAAAAUGGAAAGAAUUGGCAAGAGAAGCUGUGAAAGAAUGUGGAUCUUCAGAAGUGAAUCUAAAAGCUUUUGUUCAAGAAGUUGGCAAAAGUUGUUGAAAAAUUAAAUUUCAUGAUGAGAAAUUGUUUUCCUAAUUGUAAUUUUCUUCUUUUUUUCACUACAAAAUUAAGAGUUCUAUACAUUGACCACGUAAAAGAAUUAUUAUAAUUUACUUUUCUUUAUAAGUAAACUUACUUAACCUAGAAAAUAUGGCAUGCAACCAGUCGGACUCACCCUAAAUUCAAAAUUUUCAAUACAGAAUAUGAAUUUACGUGAAGAAAUGAAAAAAAUACAAGAAAUAAUAGAUAUGACUUCUAAAUCUUUUUAAAAUAAGUGGGUUAGAUACUUAGAACUUGAAUCUAUAGAUUUUAAAUUUUGAAUAUACGUUUCUACUUAUUAAAAAUUAUAAUCGAUUAAAUUACGGACAUAAAUUCUAUGCGUUAAUUGUAUCAAAAGAUUACACCAUCAAGUUGAUCACUUUAAAUGCAACUAUAAGUAAUUCCUUAUGCAAAUAUUAAUCAAAAUAGGAUGAAAUCUUCUGUGUAAGAAUUCUUUUACACCGUCAACAUACAUAAAAUUAUAUCUUAAAUCAAAUCUAUGUUUUAAUUUUGUCAUUUUCAUAUAUUAGUAAAUAAAGACUAUGCCUCGUACAAUUCAAUUUAAUUUUUAUCAAUCUGUCCAUUGAAUCAAAAUAUGAAACCUUGUGAUGUGAAAGAUCACUGCCAUGGAGAGUAUAAAUUUUGAGUUAAAAUUAUUAAAUUUUAUUUAAUCUUUCGUUGUUAUAGUUCUUUUCUCACUAGGUUUUGGAUGACUUAUGGAUUACUAUAUUUCUUGUUUUUAUUAAUUAAUGUUACGCAUUACUUUGAGGUGAGUGACUAUCGAGAAUAACUUCUCUAUCUUCAUUAUAUAGGGAUAAGACAACGUACACACCACUCUUUUCAAACCUCACUUAUGAAAUGGCACUGUAUAUAUUAUUAUUGUUAUUAUUGUAGUUUAAUAUAGCACAUGUUUAUUAUUUAAUCAAAUUGAAAUAAUAUAAAUAGUGUAUGUAGUUUAAUUAAUUAAAGGCACAUUUUUUUUAUUGAAAUAUCAGUACAACACUUUUGUUCAAUUUCAUGUAAUUUAAAGAAUGUUUAAUUGUAUUCCAUUUUAUUAAUAAGAAAAUAUUUGCUUUUCUUACAUAAAAACAUGAUGUUUGAGCUGACGAAUUGCACUCAACUGCAUGGUAACUAACACUAAUAAUUAUUGAAUCAUACAAAUUUAUUCUUACAUCAUGUACUAGUAACAACUAUGGAGAAGUUAGAUGAAUAUUCUUUUAAAAUAUUAAAAUAGAGAAUAUAAAACUGCCACAAGUUUUGUUGUAAUUUUAAAUGUGUCAUAGAAUAAUGUUGGAAUUUAAAAACUUACUAAUUAUAAAAAGAGACAUUUAAAGAUAAAUUAAAAAGAAAGUACGAUACUUAAAUUGAAACGAAGAGAGUAAUAAAUAUAUGUGGCCAUAGAUUCCAAAUACUUUUAUUUAAAAUUUAUAAAGCUGGAGUUGAAGAUUUUUUCUAUUUGAAACUUGAAAGACAAAAUCCACAACUUCUACAGCUUAUGAGAGUUUAUUUCAAAAAUGGUGAAUACUGUCACAACCCUUUUUGUGCACGGACGGUGGAGGGUUUUUUCAAUUUAAGUGAUGUUAUUGAUUUAGGAAUUAUUUUAUAUUUUUCAUAGUCGCCACUUGGAAUUGAGUUGUGGUGUUCCAAGUCACCUUUUCGAAUCCCUAAUCAAUAGGAAAUGACUCUUUUAGUUUUGGUCUGCGAACCAAAAAUUCGGGUAAGGAAUUCUGUUGAUUGAGGGGAAGGUAUUAGGCAUCCCUCGAGUCCCGUGGUUCUAGCACGGUCGCUUUUAUUGACUUAUACUUAUUUUUACUAUUUUUGGAUAUAUUGUGUCUACAGGCCAUGGUUUACUUAUUUUUAUUAUUAUUAUUAUUUUAUUGUUAAAUUUUUUAUUAGUUUGAACCUAGAUGCCUUUUCCUCUUGAGUACCUCACACCUAAUAAUUUCUAUUUACCCCUCUUGGUUUAAACUAAUGAAGGUUAGUUAUUAAAAUAGUUUGGUCAAGGUGCUUAACCACAUCCUUGAAUUUGGCCAAGAUGCGUAACCGCAUCCUUGAAUUUCUUAAGUAUCUCAAAAGAUGUAGAACUACAUUCUUAAUUGAGAUGAAAUUUAAUUAUUAUUGUUACUCAUCUAACAAAAAAAAUAAAAUGUACGUUUUCCUUUUUCUUCCUUGGUUUUGUGCCUCCGUCCGUUUUCUAACCUUUUCUUUAAAAAAAAUAUUUUUGCUGCUUUGGUUAUUAUUUUAUAUUUUUUCCUUUUUCUUUGUUUUUUUUUCAUUCUGUUUCUCUUUUCUUGUUUUUAUUACGUUUUUUAACGUUUCUGUUCCUUUCUUCUUCUUCUUUUUUUGUUGUGUCGUAUAUGUAGGCAGGUAGUGUCUAUAUUGUUUUUGUUUUAUUUUUUAUUUCUUGUUAUUUGAAAGGAAAAAAAUAGUAAGCAUUGUAUAUCAAUCCAACAAUUAUCUUUCUCAAAAUAAUAUUCAAUAGCCUACUUUAGAUGAUAAUUAACACUAGCAUUAAAUAAAUAACAAAUCAAUUUUACCUCACAAAUUCCUCAUUCAAUAUUAUCAUAAACUAUUUUACUAAUUUAACACAUUUAGGCUAAUAACGAAAGAGACUAUAUUUUAAACAGUUAAAUGCAUAUUUACAAUAAAGUAUCAAUACUAAAAAUAAUGAGAGAAAUGUAAGGCGUACUAUCGGAAUCAACUUUAUAGAUUACCUAAUACAUGGAAUCAUUUAAAUAACUUUGUUCAUGCUUUAAUUCACAAAUAAAUAUAUUAAAAAUAAGUAAAAGGAAACAGAAUAGGAAUUUGUGUGGUAAAAAUAGGAGCAAGAACGAUAUCACCGGAUACUAGACAUAAAGAUCAAAAUACGAUACUAUACAAAAUUUAUUCUAAAUUUAACAAUAUACACAUAUUUACCGUAUUUCAAUAUUAUAAUGAAAAGGUUGAACAAACAUAGAAUUUGAGCCAAUUCAUAACAUUGGAAUAAAUACUAUAUAAUCAUGAAAAUCAAAUUAUAAAAUAAAUGUUAAAUAGUACCUCUUGCGAAAAUCAAACUCACGAAAAGAAAGCAAUCCUAAUAGGAAACCACGAAAGCAAACCUUAAAUUCAACCUUUAUUUGUGAGUGGAGAAAAAUAUGUAUAAUAAAAGGACGAAUACGUAUGUGUUGUACGCGUGGAGAAAGAAGUAUGUAGGUGUAUUAUAUAGGAAUUAGGAUAGGUGUAGGAGUGGGGCAGUGGGUUGUAUCGUGUGGGGUGUGGAAUGUGGAGAAAAACAUGAGGGAGUGGGAGUGUGGGUGGAUUUUGUUAGAUUAUUUAGGUUAUUUUUUUAUGUUAGUUUUAGUUUUAUUAACUAUACAUAUAAAUAAUAAAUUAUAAUAAAAUAUCAACUAAUUAAAAUAAUAAUAAAACUAACAACAAAACAGCCCGCAAACGCACAUAAUUGAAAUUUAAAGNNNNNNNNNNNNNNNNNNNNNNNNNNNNNNNNNNNNNNNNNNNNNNNNNNNNNNNNNNNNNNNNNNNNNNNNNNNNNNNNNNNNNNNNNNNNNNNNNNNNNNNNNNNNNNNNNNNNNNNNNNNNNNNNNNNNNNNNNNNNNNNNNNNNNNNNNNNNNNNNNNNNNNNNNNNNNNNNNNNNNNNNNNNNNNNNNNNNNNNNNNNNNNNNNNNNNNNNNNNNNNNNNNNNNNNNNNNNNNNNNNNNNNNNNNNNNNNNNNNNNNNNNNNNNNNNNNNNNNNNNNNNNNNNNNNNNNNNNNNNNNNNNNNNNNNNNNNNNNNNNNNNNNNNNNNNNNNNNNNNNNNNNNNNNNNNNNNNNNNNNNNNNNNNNNNNNNNNNNNNNNNNNNNNNNNNNNNNNNNNNNNNNNNNNNNNNNNNNNNNNNNNNNNNNNNNNNNNNNNNNNNNNNNNNNNNNNNNNNNNNNNNNNNNNNNNNNNNNNNNNNNNNNNNNNNNNNNNNNNNNNNNNNNNNNNNNNNNNNNNNNNNNNNNNNNNNNNNNNNNNNNNNNNNNNNNNNNNNNNNNNNNNNNNNNNNNNNNNNNNNNNNNNNNNNNNNNNNNNNNNNNNNNNNNNNNNNNNNNNNNNNNNNNNNNNNNNNNNNNNNNNNNNNNNNNNNNNNNNNNNNNNNNNNNNNNNUAUAUAUAUAUAUAAAAAUUUAAGUAUACUAAAUUGUUAAUUAUUUUAAUAUCCACUUUAUUUUUAUUUUUUAAAUAUGUAAUCAACUAAAAAAGGUGAGCCAUGAUAAUUAAAAUAAAGAUAUACACAAUAGUAUUGGUCACCCGAGAUGAUAAAGUUGGUGGGGCCCACUUAAAUUAAAUAAAGAUGGAUAUAUGUGUCAUUAUGGAGAUGUUGGCUGGCUUUUUUGUCUAAAGAAGAAAAGGUACAAUUAUAAAGCACUGCCAUACAAGAGUUUUAAGGAGCAAAAGAUAGCAAAUACCGUAAUUCUAAACAUUAAUUGCAAGGGGCAACGACCAAAUUGCACUUGAGCUUUUCUAAAUAUGGCAAAAAACAUCCAUGUUGAAAGUUUGAAAACUCUCCCUUCUAUAUAAUAGAAAUUUAUUUAUUUUUCUAACAAUCUUUGACUCAUUCCGGCAUGUUUUAUGAUAUUAAAACAAAGCAAAAUCUCAUACUACUUUGUUUUAAUCACAAUUAUUAAUAAUGUAAAAUACUUUUAAAAGAUUAUUAUCAAAGAAAAUAUUUUUUUAAAUGUCCAACAAGUUUAAUAUAUUGAAAAUAUCUUUUUUUAUUUUUUUAUUUUCAAAUCUUUUAAAAUAAACUUACUAAAAUAAAACAAAAAUCAAAAUAUCUAACUUAACCUAAAAUAAAUAUUUAAGGAAUAAAAACAAAAUGUAAAGCCUUAUGUUUGGUCAAAAAUUACGUGUCUACAGCUUGCCCCUCUUUGACUGGAAACACGAAGAGUUUUCAGACAAGGAAGUAGACAACGCGACAAAUUUUGACCGGACUCUUAUUUGAGAGGAGAGAGAGAGAGAGAAAAAAAAGUCUGAAUCCUUGUUUUGGACAGCCUACAUAUCUCGGGUUGUAAAGGAAUCAGGUCAGGUGUAGUUCAAGACGAUGAAGUGAUGAGUUGGAAGUUAAGUGAGGCUCCAUCGAUGCUCCAGUUCGCGGCUCCUAUUGUUACAUGAAUAUAUAAAGACAAAAAAUUUAAAGAAAAUACAAGUACAAGAUUUUAUCUAUGUAGCUUCUCUUGAACCUUGACUUGAGUCUUCAUGCUUCUUGAGUUAUGAGAUAUUUAUUUUCAUCUCAAAUGAGUUCAAAGGUAAACGCCUUUCUCCGGGUAGGUUCCUUUUACUCGUACUUGGAUAUAGAUUGUGUUUUUUAGAAUGAGCUCAUGCUUCUUCAAUUGAAAUUGAGCUUGAAAGUUAGACUAUUUUCCAUCUAAGAUCCUGAGCUUGAAAUGUGGAUUGACUCCAUUCUAUCAAUGGAUUCUUGAAAUUAAAAUAAACAAAGAAAUAACACAAAAUUUUGCCCCAGUUUAUAUCAAAGAAAAUGUACUCUUUAGAGGGCUUAUGCGUGUUUACACCAACUCCAUUCCUCAUGAUAAGAAAUAAAAUAUGGUGCUUAGCUUUGAAUCGAGACUUUGAACGACUCGAGCUUUGUUGCGAGGUACUCUUUAGAGGGCUUAUGCGUGUUUACACCAACUCCAUUCCUCAUGAUAAACCGGUUAAAUUAAAUUAUGUUAGUCUAGUCCCAUUAUCCAGGAGGGUCCUGUUAGUCCCAUUAUUCAGGAGGGUCCUGAUACUCCCAUUAUCAAGGAGGGUCCUGCUAGUCCCAUUAUCCAGGAAGGUCUUGUUAAUACGUUCAGUAGACUAAUAAUACAAACAAAACAUUUACCCCAGUAUGGACCAUAAUUUUAUUUUAUUUUUAGUGUUAUCUAAAUUAUUUGCGGAACAUUCAAGAAAAGUUGAUUCAAUCUCUCAGGUAAUUGUUAUUUUGAUAUAUAUAUAGACCAACUUCCCUGUAAUGGGGCUCCACAAACCUUUAUUGCAAUGUUGUUAUUUUGCUUUUUGUAGACUAAAUUGAAUAUCUAGGUUUUUCAGAUCCUUGAUCUUGAAAUAACUUGUACCCCUGCUACAACAAAGAAAAUUUGUGAGUUUAAAAAUGUGGUGGUUGGUUUGCGGUUCUGCCUUUUGAUGAGGAUUGCUCGAGUACUUGUCAUGUUCUACUUGUUUCCAAACGACCAAUGCUCGUUACUGAUUGACUGCAUUUUCGCCAAAAUUUGUUUACUUUGAGGGACUUAAAUCCAAUAUCUUCAUUUGUUUCACGACACUCAUUGUUUAUCCUUUAAUUAAAUUAGGGACUUUUUCUGAAUCCAAAACUUGCCGAUAGAUGAUAAUUCACUGGCCUGAUGCUUCGCCUUGUACAAUUCGAAGAGUUGGUAGCGAGUCUUGAAAUCCUUUCCUAGUUUCUUGACACAGACUCAACUCAAAUACAUAUAAAACAAAGUGAUGAAAAGUGGAAGAAAAACAUAUACUCCACAAGAAUAGAAGAAAAUGAUUCGAAGAAGAACCUCUUUUAGAGAGGGGAAGAAAGAAAACUUAUCUGAGUGUGGUAGCCGACUCUAUUGAUCAUGACAUGCUUUGAAUUGAUUACCCAAUUUGUCCAUCCAAUUAUUCAUCAACCAUUAUUGAUCCUUUAAUUUUAUGUGGGGUCUCAACAUUUAACGAAGUCAUAAUCAGUUUCAAACCCUUAUUCGCCUUAUGAUGUCCAUGCGGGUUUUUGCCACUAAGACUCUUUCAUUUUGAUUCUUUCAACUUACAUUCGCCUUAUGGUGCCCGUUAGGGUUUUCACCAACAAAGCUCUCUCAUUUUUAUUUCUCUCAACUCACCUUCGCCUUAUGGUGCCCGUUAGGGUUUUCACCAUUAAAACUCUCUCAUCUUUAUUUCCCUCACUCAUAUUCGCCUUAUGAUGCCCGGUUAGGAUUUUCACCAAUAAGACUCUCUCUUUUUUUUUACUGCUCACUUUCACUUUACGGUGCCCAUUUAUGAUCUUCACCAAUAAAACUCUCAUUUUUGUUUCUCUCAACUCACACUCGCCUUAUGACGCCCAGUUAGAGUUUUCACCAAUAAGACUCUCUUAUGAUUUCAUCAUUUGUACCCAUAACAUACUUACUCUUGACAUUUCAAAGGUUGAUCCAAAGGUCUUUCUUUGAUUGAAACGCGACUUUUACAAGGUUAGAAAGAAAUGACAGGAAGAAGGCUCAAAUACGACUUUAAAUGAUGGGGUUGACCUUAGCUUCGGGAUAAAAGAAAAUAAAAUAAAAAUAAACAUAAAAGAAAAUGACUUUUUCCCCAGUUUUUACAAUAUGAAAUUUUGGAUUUUUUAUUUGGUUGGACCGAACCCCAACGUAAGGGUUGCCUACGUAUCUUGCCGAAACAAGAAUCAGGUCAAACGUAGUUCAUGAUGGUGAUUUUUUUUUCUUCUUCUUCUUUUUUGUCUCUUUUUUUAAAAAAGCUUUUUUUUUUAGAAGAACGAAGGAAGUAGAAGAGCCAAGGAAGUAAUUAAAUCUCAACAAAGGUAGCCAAAUAUGACUUAAUACUUAGACACAGAACCAAGAAUUUCCAUUACAUCAACCUUUGAAUUGUCAAGUCCAAACAUGAGGGUUUCUAAUACUGAGAAAUCAAAUCAUAUAUGAUAUCUUUUCACGGCAUCAGCAUUGACGGCCAUUUCUGUCAUUUUUCCUUCUAUAUCUGCUAAGUAAAGAGCACCAUUAGAUAAUAUCUUCUUUACAAUGAAUGUUCCUUUCCAAUAUGGAGAAAAUUUGCCUUUGACUUCGGCAUGAUGUGGCAGAAUGUGUCUCAACACUAUAGACCUCAUAUGGAUUCCUGUUUAUUUGUGUAAAGAUAUGACACCUGGCCUAACCCAAAAGCUAGCUCGUAAGGGGAGGUUCGUCCAAAUCCAUAUAAGGAUAUCAAAUUCCUAUCCCUUUACCGAUGUGUGACAUCUUAACACUCCCCCGCAUCCAGACUUCAACUGGAGCAUGACCACUUCUAAAUGGAGGCCAUCAUCGGUGAACAACAAACUGAGACCCAUCUUAACACUCCCCCGCAUCCAGACUUCAACUGGAGCAUGAACACUUCUAAAUGGGGACCAUCAUCGGUGAACAACAAAUUGGGACUCCACACGCCCAGAUCUCAACUGGAGCGUGAACACUUCUAAAUGUGGGCUCAUUAUCGGUGAACAACAAAUUAGGAUGUGCCUAGCUAGCUUUGAUACCAUUUAAAAUAUAUGACAUGGGUCUAACUCAACCCUAAAUGAUAGCUCAUGAGGGAAGGUUUGUCCAAGUCCAUAUAAGGAGACCAAAUUUCCAUUCCUCUACCGACGUGGGACAUCUUAACAAUUUGAUUUCAAUUUUUGCUAUUUAGGGACAAAGGCCUAGGUUUUAUCAUUGAUUUAAUCGAUCGAACUAAGGAGUAAUUUUUAUCUAUAUUUUCUAUUUGUACUAAGAAAUUGUUAACUUUCAAGAACCAAAAUCUUUUAAACCAUAAGCUUUAGAGACUUUGCCUCUGUUGCUACUAUGUAUGUAUACCUUCAAGAGAAGCACGACAUUUUCCUCCAAUAGAAAGAUUAUCAAAACAUGUGAAAUUAGAAAUAAGGAAGAACCUAUAUUUAUGGUAAAUAUAUGUUGUCCUUCCUUCAAGAGAAAGGAAAAUCAAAUAUGAUUAAAAAAAUAAAAAAUUAGAACAAACAAUAACAUCAGAUAAUAGUACACAAAAGCUCGAAUUGAUUCUUGUUUAAUAAAAUUAUCACGCUGUAAAUCAACAAAACUCAAAGUUAUGUCUCUUUCACCUUCAAGUUUACCUACUAUUAUAGCAUGACAUACAUAUCAUUUCAAAAUGAAAAUAAACCAGCUUCAAUACAACUUCAUAUGUUAUAUAUUGUUACAUUUUAUUAAAAGAAAAUAUGAGUGCAAAGACAACACACCCCCUACCCACCCACCCCAAACACACAUAAUUACUUCAUAUAUUAUUGUUACAUUUUAUUAAAAGAAAAUAUGAGUGCAAAGACAACACACCCCCUACCCACCCACCCCAAACACACAUAAUUACUUCAUAUAUUAUUGUUACAUUUUAUUAAAAGAAAAUAUGAGUGCAAAGACAACACACCCCCUACCCACCCACCCCAAACACACAUAAUUGCAGUAAUCACUUAUAAAUAUUGGAACCAUUAUUGUUUGCUUAAAACGUACACUCAAUGAGUAGUUCGAUUAUCCAAAUGGUGUACUAUUGACAGAGCCAACAAACAACAAGGUGAUUGUGUCUUUAAGGAAGUUUCUUGAAUCUGUAAAAUCAUCCUCUUGGAGAAUAUUUACGAGGCGUGAAAAAUUUAAGGCAGGUUCGAGGACAAACGUUGGUACUUGGGUAGCAUGUAAAUAAUCAGUGUUUAUAUCUUUCCAUGCAUUCACAAUUUGCCUUUGAGCCUCAACAUAUGCCUCUUGUUUUGAAGCUCCAUAUUCUUUCAUGUAACAUUCAAUGAAUGAAGCUCCAUGUUCCCUUUGUUGUUCGUGCUGCAUGCAUCAAAUACAAUUCAGUAUGACGUUUAAAUUAAACAUCUAUUUUUAUAAGUUCAAACUAUAUAAUAUGUUAGCGUAUUAUACUUACUUAUAUAUAUAUAUAUACUUACUUCAUGUCCAAUAAUAUCGUCCUUUAAUCUAUUGAUUAGUAAUGUAGCUGGAGCGAUCAAAGACUCAUUUAUCAUCCAUUCGAAAGUCUCGUUAGAUAUAAAUUCGUCCGCAACAGUCAAAGAAGUAAUCAAAAGCAAUUGAAUGGCAACAGUUAGAGUAGCGUUUUUCUUAUAUUCCUCGCAUUUUGGAAUAAUAUCAUCUCUCAACCAUUCCGCUUCCUUAAGAUAACUUCUGAUCCACUUAUUUAUCUAAAAAUAAAAUAAAAUAUAUUGAUUAGAAGCAUUAAUUAUUUGUAAUCAUCAGUGAUAUCAAUCUCCGGUUUAACUGAAUGAUGGGACCACUUACCUCAAUUUUUGCAUAGUAGACGUAGUCUAUUUUACCAUCUUUGGUCAAUUCUUUUUCCAUUUCAUCAAAGUAAUCUAAAAAGACUUGAUAAAGUGGUCUCAUAUAGGGUGAUAUCGAAUCCAUAGCACUAAUAUCACAUCUGCACAUGCAUAAAUUUAUAACACAUAUUUUUUACUCAAAAUGUAACAACAUUAUAUUGUAAAGAGUUAAAGUAAUUAAGUUUUACCUCUCGACUGCAUCGGUGUAAGGCACAAGUUCGUCAUAAGUUGCAUAAGCAUCAUAGAGAUCAUCAGUGAUGGUAAUGAUAACCAUUAUUUUUGUUAUCGUCCUUCUUGCAUUUCCAUAUUGAGGCCCAAAAUACACCCCCAUUGCCCAAAAAUAACAUUCCACCAGUCUGUCUCUUGCAUAUGGAUUUUUGUUUUCAUUAUCCAAAUCCUUCCACCACCUAUAUAUGUAUAUAAUAUUUAUAAUAUAUCACACAAUGUGUGUAUAUAUAUAUGUAUGUAUGUAUGUGUGUGUGAGAGAGAGAGAUUAAUUAAAGAUAAUAUAUGUAUAAAUUUAUAUACCUUGUAAGUUCACUAAGCUCUCUUCGGUAAAUCUUUUGCAAAAUGUGGAAGUCCAAUUUUGCAAAUUUCAAAAGCAAAUCAUCAUGUGAUUCAAUGGUCUCAUAAAUACGUAUGUAUUUACGAGCUACCACUCUUGGUACAUUUGUAUGAAUGGGCUGGAUCAAGGCUUCACUAACUUGGGCCUUGAGUGAGUUGUCCAAUUUAGGGCCCAUGGACUUGAGAUGAGUGAUGGUAAAAGUUAGAGCUUCUUCAAGAAUUUCUUCUCCGUGUACUCUUAGAUGUGUUACUUCGUAUAAACUUAAUAAGCCUGGAACAUCUUUAGUAAGAGUUUCCUUGAAUUUUCCGUCGUCGCUGGUGAAUUUUUUGAACACAUCUGAUUAAUUGUCGUCAUAGUUAGAUAUUAAACAACCUUUUUGGAGAUAUAUACUAAAGUUUUUACUUAUAAGCCUCAUAUAAGUACUAUAAAUAUUAUAUUUUUCAAUUUAUGAAAAAAUUGAAUUCAUAAAGAUUAAAUUCUGAAUUCAUCUCGUCAAUAUUUUACUUUUGACCAGAAAGGAAUUAGUAAUCAACAUUGAUAAGCUACAUAGGAUAAUUAGAGUAGAGAUACGAUACCAGAAGACAUGCAAUGCCUUUGUCGUCUCACUAGUCUAAAACGAAGAGCAACAAUGCAAAGAUCAUCGUCGUUAUCUUCAUUUUUAUUUUGUUCGGAUUCAUCAAAAAUAUUUUGAAUGGAUGUUUUGAUUUCGUUUUCGAAAUGAUAUGCCACUCCCAAUCGUUGGAUUGUAUCAAUCAAGACAAGUUUUUGUGUACUAUUAUCAGGAGUUUCCACUAACAUUUGCCUGACUUUUUCUUUCAAUUCUUCAAGUUCAACUUUUUCUUGGCUACUAAUUUCCUGCACCAAAUGUUUAAGUGUUAUUAUAUAUUGUUCUACUACCUAUAAAUAGCAACAAAUGCAAUACAAUAAUAAUAAUAUAAUCAGUAUAACUCUAUAUGUGGGAUUAAAAGAAGCUAGAGUGCAUCUUACCUCUACCUUGUGGAGGUACAACCGUACAUGUACUAUUUCAGUAGUAAAAAUGACAUAUCAUAUAAUAGGAACAUGGAACGAUAACAAUAAUUAAACAAUACGAUAACCAAAGCACAUAAAUAAUGAGAGGUAAUAGAAAUCGUAGGAUGAGAAAUUAUGAAAAUAAUGCUAGCUACUAGCUACUACUGAUCAUGAUAUAAACAAAAAACAAUUAAGAUUUAUCAAAUUUAUCACCAAAUCUAUCUCACAGAAAAACGAAACAUACUGUGAGUUGAGGAGUGUAGGAAAGGAAAUAAUCUCCCCAAACACUUGAAUGAUAAUUUGCCAAUGGACGUGUGAUAGUAGGAUCAACCAUUGCUUAUAAUUGAUUCUUAAUUUUUUUUCUCUCUCUAAAAUGCUUUAAUUAUUACAAUUUGAGAUAUGUUGCUAUAUUUGGUGAGGUAUUUUAUAGGGAUUUCGCUCAACAUCAUUAUCGUUUGAGCUGUCAAAAUGGGAUUGGCCCGCUAGGUCGGCCCAACCCAAUUCUUGAAUUAAAUGGGGUUGGGCUCAAUUUUUUCAGCCCAUUUAGGAACGAGGCUUUUUAUCCUAGCCUCAUUUGGCCCGCUGGCCUCGUAGGCCCAACCUGCAACCCUCAUCCGCCAGCCCGCGGGCUGUGAAUUUUAAAAAUAUUUAUUAUAUAUAUAUUUUAAGUAGUGUUUUACUUGUUAAGAUUUUGUCAAUAAAUAUUUUUAAAAUAUCAAUAUAAAAUCAAGACUAUAUUUUUUACAUUUUAGGGUCAUUAGCCCACUAAAUUUUCUUAUUAGCCCAAAUUCAUUGCUCCAUUAUAAAUAUGAAUCUUUGACCUCUUUUACUUUUGUUUUUAUGCCUAAUUUUUCACUUCUCCUUUAUUGUCUUGUUUAUGAAAAUAAUGAUCCUGUAAUGUUUUUUGCUCGGAUGAAUCUUAUGAAUGUUGUAUCUUGGCUAUUAUGUAUUUGUUUUGUAAAUAUUCACUAAAAUAUGUGUAAUUCAUGAAUGAAUUUAUGUAUGUAUUGAUGUCGUGUCAAUCGGACAUCAACGUUUGUAUACUUUCUAAGAGGAAAAUGUUGUUCGUUUUUUGGUUGAAAGGCCAACCCGUGGCCCGCUUAGGGCUGGUUUGGGCUGCUAUUUUAUCGGCCCUUUAAUUAAAAGGGCUAGCCCGUCCCAACCCAUUUAACUCUCUAGCCUGUUAGGGUUGGGUUGGGCCAGCCCAUUUUGACAGCUCUAAUUAUCGUUCUUUUUUUUUUUUAAUUAUCAAUGGACGUGUGAUAGUAGGAUCAACUAGGGGUGUGCAUUCGGUUUUUCGGUUUGGUUUUGCACUAUUUGAUUUGGAUUUUUUGGUUUUUGAUUUUGUAAAAGUGUAAUCCAAUCCGAUCCAAAAUCAAUUUGGUUUGGUUUUCAUCUAUUUGGUUCGGCUUUUUUCGAUUUGGUUAUUCGGUUAUGUCAAUAAUUAAUAACAUAACCAAAGUAAUAAUAUUUAAUUCCUUAAAUAUACUUUCUAAUAUAAAUCAUACUAGAAAGCACUGGCCCGUGCCAGUAGGGCCCAAUAUUAUUAAGUAUUAUUUCUUUUUUUUUGUUAAGUUUGUUUUUACGUGAAAUUGGAGAAUUUUUUUUUGAUGGAUCUAAGGUAGUGCUUCUUUUUUUUUGUUAAGUUUGUUUUUACGUGAAAUUGAAGAAAAUAAAUUUGAUGGAUGUAAGGUGGUGUUGGUUAUGUAAAAUAUUAUUUUUUCUAUAUUUGAUCAGUUAAAAUCUUUGCAAUAUAUUUUCUCUAGAAGAUAUUUUUUUUUCCUUUUAAAAUGAGGAAAUGAUUUCUAUAAUAGAUGUAUGGAAAAAAAAGUUACACAUGUUAUUCUACAUUGAUAAUGUCUUCCUCCGUUUUCAACCACACCUCAUCUUUACCCCAUAAUAUGGAGCUCCCUGCCCCCCCCCCUCCAUCUUCGUCUCCACCACCACACACAUCCCUACCCUCUACCUUCACCUCUUAUAGUAUUUGUCUAAAUUAUAUAAAAAUGCUUUUAGGAUAAUAAAUUUUGCCAACCUAUCAAAAACAAGAAAAUAAAUAAGAAACAUAUUUAUUUUCCUAGAAAUCAUUUCUAAAAUAAUAUUUCUAAUCUUUACAAACACAUCCUAAGUAAUUAUUAAUCAUAUACUCAUAGUAUUGCAUACUAAAAAUUGAAUACGGUCUCAAUCCAUGAAUAGAUGUUGAUUGUCAAAUACUAAAUUAUUAUACUCAUGGAAACAUUAUACCAUUAGAUACUUAAAGCGACACUUUAUACACAUAUAGAGUAUUACUAUUUAUACAUUAGCGACAGAUGAUACAUUUUUUUCAAUAGUCAUCAAGGUUCUUAUUUUUAGUUUUUUUACCAAAAACAUACUACGGAAUAAUUUUAUUAAUUAUAUUUUAAAAUUUGUUAUUAUCAUUGUUAAAAUAACAAUUAGUAUAAAAAUAAAGAAAAUGUGCAUACUCUACUAAUUAAUUUAAUUUUAGACUCUCAAUUAUCUAGGAGUGGCCCCGUGACACGGGCNNNNNNNNNNNNNNNNNNNNNNNNNNNNNNNNNNNNNNNNNNNNNNNNNNNNNNNNNNNNNNNNNNNNNNNNNNNNNNNNNNNNNNNNNNNNNNNNNNNNNNNNNGUUAAAAUAACAAUUAGGAUAAAAAUAAAGAAAAUGUGCAUACUCUACUAAUUAAUUUAAUUUUAGUCUCUCAAUUAUCUAGGAGUUUAACUUGACUAUUAGUAUUUUACAGAAUUACUUAACGAUAAUGAUAAAGUCAAGUAAAAAUAAUUAAUUUUCUUAAUUUAUUAAAAUAAANNNNNNNNNNNNNNNNNNNNNNNNNNNNNNNNNNNNNNNNNNNNNNNNNNNNNNNNNNNNNNNNNNNNNNNNNNNNNNNNNNNNNNNNNNNNNNNNNNNNNNNNNNNNNNNNNNNNNNNNNNNNNNNNNNNNNNNNNNNNNNNNNNNNNNNNNNNNNNNNNNNNNNNNNNNNNNNNNNNNNNNNNNNNNNNNNNNNNNNNNNNNNNNNNNNNNNNNNNNNNNNNNNNNNNNNNNNNNNNNNNNNNNNNNNNNNNNNNNNNNNNNNNNNNNNNNNNNNNNNNNNNNNNNNNNNNNNNNNNNNNNNNNNNNNNNNNNNNNNNNNNNNNNNNNNNNNNNNNNNNNNNNNNNNNNNNNNNNNNNNNNNNNNNNNNNNNNNNNNNNNNNNNNNNNNNUAUAAUUAGUGGAUAUGAAUUGAUUUUCGAGAAAACUCUCAGCCAAUAAGAGGAUAACAUUUUCCUUGAUUCCUAUAAUUGAUUCUUCUCAUUAUUUAUCCUUUCUACCAUCUCCUCAUUAUAUGUUAUGUCAGCUCAUUUUUACUUGUCAUAUUUGAACUUAUAUACUCAUUAAAAAAAUAAUUUAUAGGUUAAAUAAUUAAUACUAAAAAAAUAAUAGUAUAUUUUUAAAAAAAAGAUUAUUCUUAAUAUAUGAAAAUUGACAAUAAAAAUAAAAAAUUUCUUUUUUAAAUAAUGGGCAAGUAAAAGACGAAUGAAGUAUGUACUCCCUCCAACCCUUUUGACUUGUGAAAUUUUGACUUGACACGCCUCUUAAGAAAAUAAUGAUUGGUAUAAUGAGUUUAUCAUUUUACUCUUAUUAAUUGAUAAAAUUUUAAACAUAUUUACUCACUACUUUUUAUAUUAAUUUAAUGUUAAUAAAUUGAAGAUAUAAUAGGAAAAAAAAAUUCUUGAUUUGUUAAAUAUAUUUGAUAAAUAAAUAGAAACGGAGAAAAUAUCUAUGAAAUUUAUGCCAAAUGGAAGAGGGAAAAAACGGAAGUGGACCAAAGCCCACGUCUUAUGAUACCUAUGGCAAAUAGAAAAGUGAAGUUCAUCUUCAUCAUAUUCUUCAAUGACAGGGCAGGAUUUGUAAUUAAGUAAAAAAUAUUGGACUUUUCUUAAGCUCUUGCUGAGGUACAAAAAUCAAAGCAACAAAUACAACUUUUUGAAGCAAGUUUAUCUUGCAAAAUCUUUUGAACGACUUUAAUAACAUUUAUGGUAAACUUGCUUAAUCUUUUGAACGACUUUAAUAACAUUUAUGGCAAAUAGAAAGUGGGACCCAUCAUAUUCACCAUGGGCAGGGCAUAGUUUGUUAUUAAAUAGAAAAAGGAGGAUCUUUUUAAGAGCUCUUACUUAGGUUCAAAUAACAAUGCAAAAGUUACAAUAUUUUUAAGCAAGCUUAUCUUGCAAUUUUUUUAAAAAUCUUUAAUACCUCCAAACUGUAAUUUAAUGUCACAAAACUGACAUGUUGAAAAGGACUUGAAACUGUCCUUUCUAAUAUAUAGAAAAGUAAAACUUAAAACACAAUACUUAUAAGUAUUAUAGAUGUAAUUCAAACAUAAAAUAUAAAUGUAAUCAUCAUGAAAGGCAAUAACCAAAAAGGGAUAAAAGUGGUUAACUCCAACUUAAUUCUAAACCUAAACAUUAUAUAUAUCUAUAUAUAUAUAUCUAUAUAUAAAAUUCAGUUUUUUUGGUUUUUAUUUUUUAAAAUCCGAAACCAAACCAAAAAACCAAAAAACCAAACAAAGUAAUUUAUUAAUCCAAAAUCAAUCCGAAAAACCAAAAAAUCAAUCUAAAUAAAAAUUCGAUUUGAUUUGGUUAGGUUAUUCGGUUUAAUCCAAAUAGUGUACACCCCUAGGAUCAACCAUUUCUUAUAAUUGAUUCUUAAUUUUUUUUUCUCUCUCUAAAAUGCUUUAAUUAUUACAAUUUGAGAUAUGUUGCUAUAUUUGGUGAGGUCUUUUAUAGGAGUUUAACUUGUAUCCACCGUUGGUGUAUACUUUUUUUUACACUGACACAUACUUUUAAGGCAAGUUUCUUUUUUAUUAUUAAGAUUUUUAUUUUAUAAAUUUCAAAACUAUUACUAAGGGUAAAAUGAGAGAGAAAAUAAUUAAUUUUAUUUAAACUUCUAAAAUAAACGACUACUUUUAAAAAUUCACGACAUAUAACUUGAGACGGAAAGACCACUAAAGACGGAGAGUCAUUUGGAUAACUAUUAGGGUAUUUAUGACUUGACCCUUCAUAAUUACAAGAAUCCAAAAAGGAUUUUCCUCUCCAUUUUCUUUUUCUUCAUUUUUUUCAAGUAUUUAUUUGGAUAAGAUACACAUGUUAAAUCAAUAAUUGAGAUUUAUCUUUCCCUUCAAUAAUUUUUUGGCAAAUUGAAGGGAGACAAAAUAGCAUGCGUCUUUCCCCAUUAUUGAAUGAAACGACUAAUGAAUGAAUAUAUUAUUGAAUGACAUGAUUAAUGAAUGAGUAUAUUAUUGAAUGGCAUGACUUAUGAUUGAGUAUAUUAUUGACUCUAAUGAGUUCAUAGUGUUCAAAAUGAGUGAAACAAUUCAACAAAAAACCUACAAAUUUCCACAAAUAGCAGUACACCUCAUAAUUUUCCUAAUAUGCAACUAUCUUACAUUUAAUAUAUGUAUCUAAAACAAAAUUUAACCCUAUAUAUACCGUAUAAUUUAUCAAUAAAUAGGGCUAUGUAUGUACACAACACCCUUUCAGGUAAUUGGUACAAAUAUUAAUAGAAAGAAGCACCAUACUUAAAGCAGUGAUCACUUUGAAAUGGAUGUAGGCAUCAACACGAUUAUCCUGAUCAUAUAUUUGUCACGAUCCAAAAAUGGACGUGAUGACACUCAUCUUAUCCCACCAAGACAAGUCAGCUUAAAACUCAACCAUUACAAAAAAAUGCGGAAAUUUCAUAAUUAACUCAAAAAUACCCCAAAAAUCUAGCUGUCACGUGUACAAGUCUCUAAAGUAUUGCAAUUGAUUCACAAGAAAAACAUAAGUCUCAAAUGACCUUGUUUCUAGAAUAGAACUAAAUCAUAAAUAGGAGUAAAAAGGUCUGUUGAGAUGACAAACAGCUACCUCACAAAUCUCCAAGAAGCCUCAGAAAAUAAGAGAAUAUACCACAAAGGUCCGGGCUAGUAACCUACAAAAAAAUGUAGUAGCAAGGGGUGCGUACCAAAUCACGCGGUACUCAACAAGUAAACUUCUAAACACAAGCUAAGGGGAUAGAAUACGGGUACUCCUUACACCCAACCGAACCUCCACAACUACAACCUACAUAAAAUCAGCCCAACUUAACAGUUCACAAUUCACAUAGCACAUAUCUCAACAACAACAUUCUAACAAUCACAUAUUCUCAACAACAAGCUCAAUAUUCAUCAAUUACAAUCUCCACGACUACAAACCUGCUUAAAACCAGCCCAACCUAACAGUCCAUAAUUCACAUAGCACACAACUCAACAACAACACUCUAACAAUUACAUAUCCUCAGCAACAAGCCCAAUAUUCACCAAUCAAAAUUCCACAGAAAGGCACUCACAAGAUCAGCAAAACACAAUAUCAAGUUCACUAAUGAUAAAUAUGUGCAAUGCAAUGUUAAGUAUAGUGAUGCAUGUCUGACCUAGUGAUACACACCCGCUGUCUCUCAGUCUGGGACCCAUGGGGGACAUAUACACACCCAUUCACAAAAGAAUCUUUCCAUGUGCUUAACUAUAAAAAUUGAUCUUUAGACAUCGGGUACCCAUCAAGAGAGGAUCACACUUAUCUAACACAAAAAGGAAAUGAUCAAGUAAACACCCAACAAGCGAUACCCUUAAAAUGUAGAACCACUAACAACACUCUUAGAUAGUUGUAACUCUUCAUAGCUCUUAUAUAAGUUCUCAUAAGCAAUGUUAUGCGUAUAGAACUACUGAUAUACUUCAACUAUCCCAAACAACACCAAAUUUAUCAUAACUGAAAUGACCAAGUCUUUCCAAGGAUCAUACCCUAUCAAGAGGGCACAAGAGGAUCGGUACAUCCGAUCCACCACUAGGGAUUCACCCAUAGAUGUGGAAACACGAGUAGCAUAAGCGGUGAAUCAUACUCCAAAUAAUAUCCAGUAUGAAGAAGGUGGUUACAUAAGAAUAUACAGAAGCAAGGUCGAAUAACACAAGAUACUUCUUUCAUAGUGCCCAUAUAAAUAAAAUUCUAUUCAUCCGACUCUAUCUCUCGAUUUUUUAGCUACCAACAAUCAACCAGAAUGACCCCAUUACAAUAUUACAAAUACGAGAUUCAUCAAACCCCACAUACUUCUCACAGUACUCCAUCGAAUCUAACACUCUUAAUACCAACAAACAUCAUAACUACACCAGUCAUUUACCUUACUCUCAAACUGUCACUAGUAUCAAAGUAUUCUUAUCAAAUACAUUAGCGUCUCUAAAUUUUCAAACUGUGGCGCCCUCUCUUUCCAAAUAAGCAUUUUAGGACAAAUACGGGUCCCACCCAAGGCUACACUAAUUUCGAAUCUAAAAGAAUUUUCCCAUCAACAUAAAGUUGUUUCAAUCCCCUCAAAAUCCUCAUUAAUCGUAUAAAAUAGUAGGUCCACACCGUUGAACAUCAAUAAGUUACCUAUCAUAAUUUGAACAAUCUAGCUCGACAUAACCAUAUAAAAUCUUUCACACAUCACUGCUUGUCACCCAAACAAAAUCUCAAUACUUAGAAAAGUCGAUGAUACAUUCCUAGUAAGUCUGUACCAAACUAGUUCACAUCUCACAGUCAUAUCUAAACUCAUAGGCAAAAAUCAAUAAAUCCUUCAACUACAAACCAAGGGCUUAUACGAGAGGUUUGUUCCUUCACUCUUCUUAAAUUCUUCCCAUGACACAAAAUUCUAAAUAUCUUUAACCCUUCAAUACACUAGACUCUUGUUCCUUUUGUUGACUCGCUUACGCCAAUCUUAUCAUUUGACCAACAACCCAUGAUAUUUUUACCUUAUCCUCUAAAUCAAAACAUUACGUGAAACCCCCCUUAGGUAUAACAAUCAAAAGUAACCAAAUUUACUACUCAAAUUAUUUUUAAGUCCUUCCAAAUGCUUCAUACUCAAUGCGAUCGAUCAUUUCUUACCUUAACAAUCCAUACCUUGAUAAAACACACUACCACAAACCUAAACUCACAUGAAAAACUUGAAUUUUGAUUUCAACUAUGUAGCCCAAUCACAUUAUCUAUCAACAUUAGCUCAUACAUUAAAUAUUUUUAUGAAUUCAUGUAUCUAAGUUUAUCAUUGAUCGUCUCUCUAUCGACUUUAUCAUAUCUUUUGCUAAAAAUUCAACCAUACUCAUUAUCAAACUCAGAACCACAAAAGAACUUAUCAUCACACUCGAACUGAACGUCUAUACACUCCUUUCUCAAGUUUUAUCCAGUACUUUUUAACCAAUUGAUGAACCCGUGACACUAGUUCCAUAACCAGAACAAAAUGAAUGAAACCACGCGUCUCUGAACUCAGUUCUCAAUACCUUUGAAGAUGCCUGUUUAGCCCUUGCAAUAAGAGAAAAUAUACUUACUCUCACCUCUUUCUGAAGGCUCCACUAUAUCCCACUCUUUUUCAUUAUGACUCUAGCUACUUUAAAUUUUAUCCGAGCGAAGUCCCUACAUAUUCUUAGACUUUCCAUACAACCACAUUACUCACCAAAUAAUGGAAAACCACAACAUUACAUACUUACUAGUCGUUAUUACCAUACAAAAUUCGUUUAACAAACAAUCCUUAUUAUAUAGUUGCAUAUCAGUCAGAGUCCAUCACGAAUUCUUAUUACCAUCAUGCUCUUGUCAUCACCACAAAGUCAACUUUGUCAUCGACGUGACAUCUCAAACCUAAUUAUACCAAUCAAAUUCAAAGGACUAACCCACUUUUAUAUGCACUUUUUACUAAAAUCUUCAAUUACCUUCACACAAGUAUACUUUUUGGGACUUCCCUUAUCCAUAAGAUGAAAUCAUCGGUCCUCAUCUAGAAUCCUCUAGAUAUACUUCACAACCUAAAUACAUUAAUAUCAAAACAAAGAUCCACCACUAAAACACAUCAUACCUGUCGAGAAGAUUGUACCCAAAUCUUACGUAUUUCUAUCCGUUGAAUAACAACAAAACAUUAUCAAAUUCGUUCUGUCUCUAGCCCAAGCGAUAUGCAUUCUUUCAUAAAUCAGAUCUAUAGCAGAAGUAACACACCCCACAACUCUAACCAAGUAGGCAUCAGUACUGUUGUAGUAGUCAUAUCAUGAUCCUCUUAAAUAUAUACCCAAUCUAUAAAAUCGUAGUAGAGAUUCUCACCUCGUUUAUCACAACAUCAUUCUCAUCAUACACUAAACAACCCAUACUUAUACAACUUUAUACAAAUUUAUUAACUGUAAUUUCCGAAGUCACACUGUUCAUUUCCUAUCCAUCAUUUUAACUAUUCCACUUUCAAUUAUCGAACCAAUCAAGAUAUUGCCUAUACCACACAAGUACUAUUCCCUCUAUUAGGGUAACUAACCAAAAGAAAUAACCACAUUCAUAAAAUCUCCAAACAUUUGUUCAAAAUCAUCACCAAAUAUCCUCAAAAUGCAUCAUCGAGCCAUCACCUAACUCAACCCCUUCAAAUUACUAAACAUUUCGAAUCUGACUACACAUCAUUUUCAUAAGUCUAUUAUUUCCACCUUAAUACCAAACUUAACAUUCAAACCAUACACGACAUCAACUACUAACAUGAGAAACCACGCACGAGUCAUCACUGUAAGUGAAAGUGAAUGAAGUGAAGCGAUAAGAAUUAAAAUCGGACCAAGUACAAACGAUAGAGAUCCAAAAAGUGAAGAUUUUUCCUAAAAGUCACUAUAGCCUCUCGAAGAUAAGUACAGACGUCUCCGUACCAAUCCUCGAGACUCUACUUAGACUCGACUUGUACACAUGUGAGACCUAUGAACCUGGGGCUCUGAUACCAUUUUGUCACAACCCAAAAAUGAACGUGAUGACACUCGUCUUAUCCCACCAAGACAAGUUAGCCUAAAACUCAACCAUUACAAAAAAAAUGCGGAAAUUUCAUAAUUAACUCAAAAAAUACUCCCAAAAUCUGGUUGUCACGUGUACAAGNNNNNNNNNNNNNNNNNNNNNNNNNNNNNNNNNNNNNNNNNNNNNNNNNNNNNNNNNNNNNNNNNNNNNNNNNNNNNNNNNNNNNNNNNNNNNNNNNNNNNNNNNNNNNNNNNNNNNNNNNNNNNNNNNNNNNNNNNNNNNNNNNNNNNNNNNNNNNNNNNNNNNNNNNNNNNNNNNNNNNNNNNNNNNNNNNNNNNNNNNNNNNNNNNNNNNNNNNNNNNNNNNNNNNNNNNNNNNNNNNNNNNNNNNNNNNNNNNNNNNNNNNNNNNNNNNNNNNNNNNNNNNNNNNNNNNNNNNNNNNNNNNNNNNNNNNNNNNNNNNNNNNNNNNNNNNNNNNNNNNNNNNNNNNNNNNNNNNNNNNNNNNNNNNNNNNNNNNNNNNNNNNNNNNNNNNNNNNNNNNNNNNNCUAACAGUUCACAAUUCACAUAGCACAUAUCUCAACAACAACAUUCUAACAAUCAUAUAUUCUCCACAACAAGCUCAAUAUUCAUCAAUUACAACCUCCACAACUACAACCUGCUUUAAAUCAACCCAACCUAACCGUUCAUAAUUCAGAUAGCACACAACUCAACAACAACACUCUAACAAUUACAUAUCCUCAGCAAUAAGCUCAAUAUUCACCAAUCAAAAUUCCACAGAAAGGCACUCACAAGAUCAGCAAUACACAAUAUCAAGUUCACUAAUGAUAAAUAUGUGCAAUGCAAUGGAAUGCAAUUUCAAGUAUAGUGAUGCAUGUCUGACCUAGUGAUAUACACCCGUUGUCUCUCAGUCCGGGACCCAUGGGGGACAUCCAUGCAUUCAUCGCGGCGCGCAAUAAGUCCCUCGAUAUAUAGUAUCCAUCGCGGCGCGCGAUACGUCCCUCGAAAUAUAGUAUCCAUUGCGGCGCGCGAUACGUCCCUCGAAAUGGUACAUCCUCUUAUCACAUAACACUUAUCACAACCAUGUCUCAGAACCAAUGCAAAUGACAUGUUCACACAAAUGAUGAGGAGAUGACCAUUUUCAUAAUACACAAUUCUACAACAAUACAACUGUGAUACAAUAUCAACAAUGAUUCAACAAGCCUUUCAACUCAAUCUCAAACAUCACAUAUCAACAAUUAAACACAUUACCUUUUAUUACCCCUUUUUCAUCAUUAGAAAAUAAUCAAUAUGUACAAGUCAACCCAUCACCAAGUCUCAUUAUCCCCAAACACAUAUCACAAGGAAAUACACGAAUUCCAUACACUUAACAAGGGUUUAGAAAUUCACUUGCCUCAAUUAAUUCGCAAUUCACUCUGAGACUUGAGCCUUUCCUUUUCGUUGACCUUCCAAAUCAAUGCAAUCUAUUCAAGUACAUAGUCACAAUAAGAUUCCGAAACUAACAACACUCAUGUUACUAUGAGUUUAGCCUAAACCCAAAAGCUUACCCAAAUUUAUAAUUAAGUUCCUAAGUCCCUUCAAAUACCGUAAAUCUAAUGGCAUCCAUAAAAUACGAUACACCUAAUAUUUAAUUACCUAUUUUAAUAUAUCAAAACUAAAAUUACAAUGUGAUAAUAACAUAAGAAUUAUAGAUUUUCGGAACCACUGGUUACGAAACCAGUGGUGGGAAUCGAUAAAAUCAUGACAUUAAUAUGUCACCUGCAGGUUCCUAACUUUAUAAUAUGAAAUCAUUACUUUAUCCCCACAAUUUUCAAAACCCACCAAGUAUACAACAAUGACAUUAUUCCUUUCCAAGAAAUCAAUUAGGUCUUAAUAUAUAUAAAGUAACAAUCUAAAUCCUUUAGUGAGCAUUCAACAUACUACUUGAAACUGUAGCGUAGCAUGUAUGGAAAAUAAUUAUAUAUAUAUAUAUACUCCUAACAAUUCAAUUCCUUUAAUUUCCAAAAAUUGAUGACAAACCAAAAAGGAAUAUAAUAAUAAUAUUAGCACUGUUUCUUGUCCCUUAUAUGUUCAAAGCCGCCAGAAACAAUGCAGCAACACCAUAUGACUUCACCAUUGCCCACUUUCAAUUUAAUACAACAAAUAUACUAAUAUAAUAAUAUUAUAUAUUGGUUACCUUCACUAAAUUCCAAAAAUCCCCACGAAUCAUCACUACCCACUCUAAUUAAUUUCAUAUAAAAAUUGAAUUUAACAACACAAUCAACGGUUGGAAACCAAAGGUUGUAAGUGUAGAAUUGAACUAAAUUACAACUGAAUUGCUUACUUGAAUGGUGGCGAAGAUCUCUGUGUUUGUGCUCGCCGCAAGCACAGAUGAUUUCUUUCUUCUCUUUUCUAAAUUAAUUAGGUAUUAAAAGUAAUAAUUCUUACUAACCUAUUUUUAAUAUUUCAGACUUGAUCCAUUAUUAUUAAAAAUAAUCAAAUUAUCCGCAAAUUAAUUAACUAUAGUUAAAUAACUAUUCAACAUUAUCAAAAAUGACCUUUCGGGUCAUUAGAAUUAACACGUUCAACAAGUAUCAUGGUAAUCAUGUCUUUAAAGAACUUUAUCGAAUCUGUAUACUCAUUCCCUUGGAAAAUAUCUAGUAUAGUGAUGUAUAUUUUUAUAUUAUUACAUAAGGUCUCUGAUACCAUGUUAAAUUAGGUUUUAGACCUAACUCACACCCCAAAAUCUAGGUCAAAUGGAGGAGAAUUGUCCAAGUCUUAUAAGGAGUCCACACAUCUCAUUAACCAUCAAUGUGGGACUUUUGUCAUUCGUUAACACGGAUGCAUCCCUAUCAUUUGCAAUGUAUCGAACAACCAAGAAAUGUAUCCGAGAGCAACGAAAAAUCCGAGAUUUUUGUAAUUGAAAAAACUUUUGAGAUAAGAUGUAAUUAGCCCCAAAUAUAUGGGGUUCAUAUAUAUAUAUUUCAUGAUCCAAAUUUGAAUCCAAGAACCAAAAGUUAGGGUCACGUGAAGACCAAGAAGAGGGCCGAAAUUUCAGUCCAAAGUGUGUUAAAUUCUCAACCAACAAGGGCUGAAAAUCACGGCACUAUAUAUAAGCCCAAAUAUGAGAUGAAGUCACAUGGGUUUUUGGUGCAAAUUUGCCAAUUUUCCUCUUAUUUUUGUUAGCUAAUUUUAGGUAGAAGUUUGUUAUUAUUUUUAAAUGUUCUCCUAGUUUAAUAGAUUUAUAGAUAGGAAUAAUGAUUGUAUACAAUAAUCUACCCUUUUAAACACAUUUGUAAAAAUAUACAGAAUAUAUUAUUAUCUUUCACUAUAUGUGUCUAAAUAUUAAUUGAAAGUCUCCCUCUUUUGCUAUUUUUUUUUAAUUUUAAAUUCGAAACAUUGAGCAUAAUCUAUACAACUUUUUCAUGGCUAUCAUUGUCUAAAAGGAUAUAAAAUGUUUUUUAACAUAUUUCUUGGUAACUUCUUGUUGUUUAAUUCUACAAGAAUUCUUAUCCUAUAUGAAUUAUUGGCUACAUUUCUUUGAAAUAAUCGAUGAAUUAAUUUUAUUAUAUAAUGCAUUUUGUCAUCACAAACGUCAUCAAUGGUCACAUUUCAAUAAUUUUCUCUUAUAUAAGCUCUCAUUAGUUAAAACCUUACGUUCUACCAUAGAUUAAUUAAUAAAAUUCUAUCUUACACAAAAGAAUUAUGGAAAACUUGAAGAAUGAUUGUCAUGUUCUUUCUUGUAACAUUUCCAGGUCAAGGUCAUAUUAAUCCAUCUCUUCAAUUUGCCAAAAAAUUAGUUAAUUUAGGAAUAAAAGUCACUCUUUUCACUAGCCUAACAGCUUUUAAUCGUAUUUCCAAGCUUCUAAAUAUCGAAGGAUUAAGCUUUACUCCUUUUUUUGAUGACUAUGAUGAAAAAUUUAAAGGAUCACUAGAUGAGAUCGAGUCAUUUUAUUCUUCCCUAUUGAGUCAUGGUUCUGAAUUCGUGACUCAAAUAAUAGAAUCUAGGGCGGCUGAGGGCCGCCCUUUCAAACUUGUCAUUUACACAACCCUUAUGGCAUGGGUUGGUAUAGUGGCUAAGGGCAUUAAUGUCCAUCUACAUUUUUUUGGAUUCAACCCGCCACGGUCUUGGACAUUUAUUAUUACUGCUCCACUGAUGACUAUGCUGAUUGUUUUAAGAAUUGUUCUGAAGAUCAAGUUGUAGAUCUUCCAGGAUUACCUCGACUAAGUCCUCGUGAUUUUCCCGCAUUUGUGUUCACCGAUGUGAAUUCUAAGUAUGGUUGGGGAGUUAAGUCUAUCAUAGACCAAAUUGAGUUAUUGAAUAGUGAAGAAAAUCCAAGAGUACUCGUGAACACUUUUGAUGAUUUGGAAUUUGAUGCUUUGAGGGCAUUGAAGAAUUUAACCGUGGUUGGAAUUGGUCCUUCAAUUCCUUCAGCUUUUCUUGAUGGAAAUGAUCCUUUAUAUAAGUCAUUCGGAGCUGAUUUAAGAUGGAGUUCAGAAAAUUACAUGGAUUGGUUGAAUACAAUGACUAAAGAAUCUGUUAUUUACAUAGCAUUUGGUAGUUACUCUGAGAUAUCAAGUUAAUUGAUGGAGGAAAUAGGUCAAGGAUUGAUAAAAUGUGGAAGACCAUUUUUGUGGGUGAUUAGGGAAGAAAAAGAAAGGGGAUAUCUAGAGGAAAAAUUGACUUGUAAAGAGGAACUAGAAAAACAAGGGAAAAUCGUGCAUUGGUGCUCGCAAGUGGAAGCUAAGUGUUACAACACCCGUCUUUAGGUUGUUUUUUGACUCACUGUGGAUGGAAUUCGACUUUAGAGAGCCUAUCUUUUGGUAUGCCGAUCGUGGCGUGUCCGUUAUGGACCGAUCAAGGUUGCAACGCUAAGUUCGUUCAAGAUGUUUGGAAGAUUGGCGUCCGAGUGAAUGCCAGUGAAGAAGGUGUCGUCGAAAGAGAUGAGUUCGAGAGGUGUAUAGAUAUCGUGAUGGAACAUGGAGAGAAAAGGGAGUAGCUUAAGAAGAAUGCCAAGAAAUGGAAGGAUUUGGCCAAGAAAGCUAUGAAGGAAAAUGGUUCAUCAAAUGUAAAUCUCAAAGCUUAUGCUAAUGAGAUUUUACUCGGUCAUUAAAGACAGUUCGAUGCACAAAAGUUCAAAAAUCCCCAUUCAUACAAAGUCCGAAUCAUUAUAAAAAAUAAAAAAUAAAUACGUAUCGUUCUUUUUGUAAUACCUUAGCCUAUAUAUGUUACAACUUACAUUUACACGUAUUACGUACGCAUAUUAUUUAAACAAUUAUGCAAAUUAAAGAGUAAUUAAGCAUCAUAUUUUGGUUAAUGACAUUAGUUAAGUUUUAGUUUUUGUUUGUAUUUGAAUUGUUAGUACUUUGAGAAUGAUGGACACGUGAUAAAGUCUGUAGAAAUGUGUUAGGUAUAAAGCCAGAUUCAAGUAAUUUUUUAUCAAAAAAAUAAAUAAAAUACACAUUGAUGUCUUAGGUAUAAUGCCGGAUUCAAGUAAUUUUUUAUCAAAAAAAUAAAUAAAAUACACAUUGAUGUCUUAGGUAUAAUGCCGGAUUCAAGUAAUUUUUUAUCAAAAAAAUAAAUAAAAUAAAUAAAAUACACAAUGAUUAAUUAAUUAGUGACAAAAAGUAAAGGCUUAGAAUUCUCUUGAAACAAGAUUAAUGGCUCGGAUGGUAAGUGUCCUUUACCUUCAAUUCUAAUAUUGUGAAGUUAGAGUCACUAAAAAAACAAAAAAGGUGAAAACUCCUAAAGAGUAAUAAAAAAAUAUUAAAAUUCUUCCGAUUCCAAUCCAUAUUACCUAAUUCUUAUCUUUUACAAAUUAAGGGGCUACCUUUUUUUUAAAGAAAAAACAAUAUAUAAAUUGAAUUAGUACAAUAUGUAUGUUGUCAUCACAAAUGUCAUCAAUUACAAUGUCCAAAUAUUUUUAUCUUAUAUAUAAACUCCAAAACCGUACACAUACCAAAUGCAAAGCACUUCAUUAGCAUCAAUAGAAAAAUUCUCUCUUUUCUCUUCCAAAAAAUGGAAAAUCUGAAGAAUGAAAAAUCUCAUGUUCUUAUUGUAAUAUUUCCAGGUCAAGGUCAUAUUAAUCCAUCACUUCAACUAUUCAAACGAUUAAUUAGUUUAGGCAUUAAAGUUACUUUAUCUACAAGUAUAUUAGCUCUCAAUAAAAUAAAAAUACUUUCAAAUAUUGAAGGAUUAAGCUUUGCUCCUCUCUCUGAUGGCUAUGAUGACAAUUUCAAAGGCUCAUUUAAUGAGUUUCAUUCAUAUUAUUCUUCUAUAAAGUCUCAUGGGUCAGAAUUUAUUUUCAGUUUAAUUAAAUCAAAUGCAAAAAAUUGUACUCCUUUUACACAUAUUAUCUACACUGUUAUUAUGGAAUGGGCUGGUUUAGUAGCAAAAGAAUUAACCAUCUACCUUAUUUUGGAUCCAACCAGCCACGAUUUUUGAUAUAUAUUAUUAUAGAUAUACUAAUUUCUGAUUAUUUCAAGAAUUGUGAUUCUAAGGAUAAAAUAAUAGAGUUACCGGGAUUGCCCCCACUUAGUCCAAUUGAUUUUCCUUCUUUUGUGUUUGAUGAUGUGGAGUGUAACAAUUGGGCAGCUGAGUCUAUUAAAAGGCAAAUUGAUAUAUUGAAUAGUGAAGAAAAUCCAAAAAUUCUUGUGAAUACUUUUGAUGAUUUGGAAUUUGAUGCUUUGAGGAUUUUGAAGAAUGUGACUAUGAUUGGAAUUGGGCCUUCAAUUCCAUCAAAUUUUCUUGAUGAUAAUUCUUUUCGAGCUGAUAUGAUUGAGAUUAGUUCAAAGAAUUAUAUGAAUUGGUUGGACAUAAUGACAAAAGGAUCAGUUAUUUAUGUAGCAUUUGGUAGUUACACUGAGACAUCAAGUUAAUUGAUGGAGGAGAUUGGUCAAGGGUUGUUGAAAUGUGGAAGACCAUUUUUAUGGGUGACUGGAGAAGGACAAAUUGAGGAAAAGCUGACUUGCAAAGAUGAAUUGGAAAAGUAGGGAAAGUUAGUGAGUUGGUGCUCGCAAGUGGAAGUUUUGAACACCCUUCUGUUGGUUGCUUUCUGACUCAUUGUGGGUUGAAUUCCACUCUAGAGAGCAUAGCUUCUGGAGUGCCCAUCGUGGCAUGUCCAAUUUGGAACGAUCAACUUUGUAACGCGAAGCUUGUUCAAGAUGUUUGGAAGAAUGGCGUCAGAGUAAAUACUGGUGAUGGAGGUAUUGUUGAAAGAGAUGGAGUUGAGAGGUGUAGUAGAGAUCGUGAUAGGGAGCGGUGAAGAGGGGGGGGGGGGGAAUUGAGAAAGAAUGCCAAGAAAUGGAGCGACUUAGCUAAGGAAGCUAUGAAGAAAAAUGAUUCAUCAGCUAUGAAUCUCAAGACUUAUGCUAAUGAAUUUUUACUUGAUGGAAGUUGGUAAAACAAAUAAAAAUAAUAAAAUCAAGUGUUUUAUUUUCUCGUUUAUAUAAUAGAAUGGUCUGUUUUUAUCUAGAGAGUGAAUAAUGUCACUCAAUCGAUGACGUUAUUAUAUUUUUUUAAGAAAAUGNNNNNNNNNNNNNNNNNNNNNNNNNNNNNNNNNNNNNNNNNNNNNNNNNNNNNNNNNNNNNNNNNNNNNNNNNNNNNNNNNNNNNNNNNNNNNNNNNNNNNNNNNNNNNNNNNNNNNNNNNNNNNNNNNNNNNNNNNCCUCCGUUUUAUUUUUUGUACAAAAAAUAUUUUUAUAGUUAAAACGUAAUUAAAAAAUAUCCUACUCGUUAGUGAAACUAACAUAAAAUUAAGAGCAUUUAUCUAUUCUUUGAAGGAGGGGGAGAAUUAAAAAAUUCAAAAGUUUAACCUCCGUUUUAUUUUUUGUACAAAAAAUAUUUUUAUAGUUAAAACGUAAUUAAAAAAUAUCCUACUCGUUAGUGAAACUAACAUAAAAUUAAGAGCAUUUAUCUAUUCUUUGAAGGAGGGGGAGAAUUAAAAAAUUCAAAAGUUUAACUUCGCUGAAUAAUGUGUGUGUUACUGUAUGUGUGUUGUUGGUGUAACAUUUUUUGGUUUUUACAUUGGUUUAAUAUAUUCAUCUUUAUUCAUAUGGUCACACCUACUCUCUGUCACUUUGGUAGAUUUUCCAAUGCCCAAAGUAAUACCAAUUAACUUGAAAAGACGUAUUGAAACACUCCUAAAUUAGGCGUGAAUUAUUAGUUUUAUCUUUGAACUAUUGACAAUCUAAAAAACAUCUCUUUAUUCGACUAACUGAACUUAAAUAUGCCCCUAAUCUUGCAUCAUGAGUGAAAUGCAUUCCUAAAUUCUUGUCAAGUAUAAGAGUGUUUUUAAUACUUCUUUCGGCUUUUUAUCAAGAGUCACAUGCUCCCACAAGAGUGUGAAACCACUUGGUAUGUCAUGUGACUGGUCAGGAAUGAUCAGAGGUGUAUCUAAAUUUAGUUAGUCAAGUAAAAGAGUGUUUUUAAGGUUGUCAAUAGUUUAGGAACGAAAUUAAUAAUUUAUACAUAAUUUGUUCAAUACUUCUCUCAAUUAACUUAUAUUUAUGUGUUUGAUAUGAUAAAAAAAAUUGGUGAGCAAAAAUAUAUAUAAUCUUUUUUUGAAAAUAUAUUUUAAUUAUUAUUAUUAAUAAUAAUAAUAGCCUAUCGAAAACUGUUUUGACCUAAUUAUUCUUUAGCAUUAAAGAUGAUGAGAAUUAAAUAUUGUUGAAGUGAAUAGUAUGAAGUUAAUACUAUUCUCAUUAAUUUUUAUAACUUCUGUGUCUCAUCAAUUGCACACUUCCUUUCACAUGCGGGUUUAAUUUUAUAUAUAUAACCACCCUUUUUAAUAAUGAGUGACCGUGAAAUUCAAGUAAUAUAUAAUUAUUCUUAUACUAUAUAUAUUGAAGUAUAUGUUAUCUCAUCAAAUUACUUAACUACGUGUCGUAUAUGUUAUCUCAUCAAAGAACUUAACUACGCUAUUAAAAAGAACAUAUUUUAUUGAUUUAAUUAUAUUUUCAAAUAAUAUUAUGUUUAAGUUUUUGAUAUAUUUAUUAAUUUUGGUAACAACUAAAUUCGUAGUCAUUACUUUUUGUAAUUUGCUCAAAAUAAAUCUUGCUCUAAUAUAAUAAUACACAAAUUAUUUAUAAGUAUAAAUUACACUAAACACACCAUAUAACAAAUUUGAUGGAGAAAUACUGUCACGACCCAAAAAUGGACGUGAUGGCACUCGUCUUAUCCCACCAAGACAAGUCAGCCAAAAACUCAACCAUUACAAUAAAAUACAAAAAAUUUAUAAUCAACUCAAAAAUACCCCCAAAAUCUGGUUGUCACGCAUACAAGCCUCUAAAGUAUUACAAUUGAUUCAAAAGAAAAACACAAGUCUCUAAUGACCUUGUUUCUAGAAUAGAACAAGAUCACAUAUAGGAGUAAAAAGGUCCGCUGAAAUGACAAGCAGCUACCUCACAAACCUCCACAAGAAGCCUCAGACAAGGAGAAGAGAAAAUAUCGCAAAGGUGCGGGCUAGUAACCUACAAAAAAAUGUAGUAGCAAGGGGUGAGUACCAAACCACACGGUACUCAGCAAGUAAACCUCUAAACACACGCUAAGGGAACAGAAUACAGGUACUCCUUACACCCCAUCCAAACCUCCAUAACUACAACCUGCAUAAAACCAGCCCAAUCUAACAACUCACAGUUUACACAACACAUAGCUCAACAACAACACUUUAACAAAUUACAUAUCCUCAACAACAACACUUUAACAAAUUACAUGUCCUCACCAACAAGCUCAGUAUUCAUCAACCACAAGUUCCACAAAAAGGCACUACGUCCCUCGAUAAUAGAAUCCAUCGUGCAUAUGACACGUCCCUUAUAUUAUAGUAUCUUUCAUAGCACAUGACACGUCCGUUGAAAUGGUACAUCCUCUUAAAUUUAUUAUUAUUCCUCAAUUCACAUAACACUUUGUCACAACGAUGUCUCAGAACCAAUGAAAAUGACAUGUUCACAUAAAUAAUGAGAAGAUGAACAUUUUCAUAACAUUGCACAAUUCACAACAACACAAUCAUGAUACAACAUGAACAAUGAUUCAACAUGUCUUUCAAACCAUUCUCAACACAUCACAGACAAACAAUUAAUCACAUUGCCUUUUAUUACCCUUUUUUUCAUCAUUAGAAUUAAUCAACAUGGACAAGUCAACCCAUCACCAAGUCUCAUUACUCCCCAACACAUACCACAAGGAAAUACACGAAUUCCGUACACUUAACAAGGGUUUAGAAAUCCACUUGCCUCAAUCAAUCAAGAAUUCACUCCGGGACUUGAGUCUUCCCUUUUCGUUGAACUUCCAAUUCAAAGCAAUCUAUUCAAAUAAAUGACCACGAUAAGAUUUCAAAACUAACAACAUUCAUAUGGCUAUAUGUCUAGCUUAGACCCAAAACUUACCCGAAUUUAUAACAAAGUUUCUAAAUCUUGAUUCCAACCAAUAGGUCAAAUCUCAUAUUUUCUGAAUUUCAAUUCUAGACUUAAGUCCCAAUUUCUCCAAUAUCACAACUCUAAUGGUAUUUAUAUGAUAAAGGAUACCUGGUAUUUAAUUUACCAAUUAUAACAUGUCAAAAUCUUUAACUUUUAAGGUGAUAAUCACAGAAAAUUUCUCUAGUCGAACCAAGAACAUGUCCAGUAAACGUGAAAGACCUUACCCUCUCGUCAAACUAAUCCAUAUUAUAUAUAUUAUAUAUAUAACAAUCAUUAUUUCCUCAAUUUUCAACAUUUACAUCAUUAGCCAAUGACUACCAUUGACUGCUUGUUCCCCACUAAAUUGAUAAUUGCUGCCGACGGCAGUAAGGAAGUGAAUUUAACCAUUUUAAUUUGGAUUUUCUCUUUCCCCACACAUCAGUGAUAUAAUCUAAUAGUAAUACUAUUUCAUUCACACUUAACGAAUAUAGAUUUUUGAGCGAAAUUAUACCUGUUGCAAUCACGCUUCGUUCUUGUUGUUGUGCCGUUCAAAUCGUGUCAAGCGGCUACCGAUUGCGUUAUGAGUAAAACUUAAAUCUCCUUGUAAUUUAAUUCAGUACAUGGGUUAAGUGGUAUAGGGUUUAAUUAUGGACUUGACCCAUUAACCACCAACUAAAUAAUUAUUUAAAAGAAUACCUAUUAGUUAAAUAACCGUAGUUAUUGAAUAGUUUAAAAUUUUCAAACCAACUUCUUCGACUAAUCCUAAGUGACUCGAGGCAUCUAUUGGGAGGGGUGAAACGGUAAUCUUAUAGAAAUUUCAAAAAAAAAAAUAUUUUUUUCGGGUUAUUACAAAUACAUGCAGAUGGCAUUGAACUACGACCUCCUUUAUCACGAUGAAUAUAUUAACUUUACACGGCACUACGUACGUACCUUCUACAACUGUGACAAAUUCACAAGUUGCAAAAUAAAACAAAUUAUUAUUCCUUCUUAAAAUAUUCUUAGAAAUACUUUAAAAAUCAAUAAAUUUUAUAAGUUUUUGAUAUAAAAUUUAAAUACUUAAAAACUUGCUUAAAUUUUAAAAUUCGAUAAGUAUCACAUCAAUUAAGACGAAAGAAACAACCACUUAAAAGUUGAAAAUUUGACUAAUGAAGUAAUUACUUGGAAGCUGAAAGUUCUCUUGAAUAUUCCCACAUCAUCUUGUCAACCUCGAAGAGCAACUUUGUAACUAGUGGUAUAAAAUACUACUCUCUUCAUUUCAUAUUAAUUAAAUUUUUGAGACAUUUUUCAUUUUUCAAAUUAAUUUAAUUGUUCAGUUUUCAAGACUACUUUUAGAGUGUUCUUCUAAUUUUACCCUUCAUUUAGAUUUUCAAUGUGAUGACUUUAAUAAAUUUGACAAUAAUUAAUAAGGGCAAAUUAAAUAUGAAAAACUAUGUUCAAUUUGUGUCUUAAUCUACUUUUUUUAAAGGGUGUGAAACACCACAAAAAUUCAAUUAACAUAGAUUGGAGAGAGUAUAAGAUAAUGCAUUUAUUUUAUUUAAAAUAAAUAAAAUGACAGCUAUUUACGUUACCCAGAAAAGAACAAAUUGACUUUAGUCAGCACAGACGUCGUUAAUCUAAUUAUUAGUAAAUACAAAAAUAAAACUACAUACUCCAAUCAAGUAGUACUAUAUAUAUAUACACUAUUGGCAAUGUAAACGUAAAUCAUGUAACAAAAAAUAAAUAAAUAAAAUUCUCUUCCUUUACUUUUGAACCAUAUAAAAAUAGAUUUAGAACUUAAAUUUUAAAAAAAUUUAAUUGAUAAUACUUACAGAAAAUCGAUUUGAAUAAUGCUAUUCAAGUCAUAGUGGCAAGAUUGAAGUAAAAAAAAAAAAGAAAUUGCAUUUUAUUUUAUUUAGUUCAUUAUUUAGCUCAAAUUAUAUCCAAAUUAAGUUAAAAUUUACAAUGUCAAUAACUAAAAUAUAGAGUUUUUUUUUUUAAAAAAAGAGAACAUUAUAUAUAUUGAUCCAUAGCAUUUAAUGCCAUAAAAUUUCCGCUAAUAAAAGAAAGAGAACAGCAUUCCAUGUGGUGGUCAAUACAUAUUUGGUGUAUCAUGUGACAAUUAUUAAUAACGAAUUUAAAAUUUAAAUUUUAUAAAUUUGAAAUUAACUUAUUAUAUUUUUAAAGUAACAAAUCCAUAAUUACUAGUAUAUUUAUUACAAUUUGAAUAAUAUUUUAUAUAUAAAUUAAUUUUUUUAUGUUAAAAAUAUUAGAUUCAGAUGAACUCGAUACUAUGAAGUUAGAUCAGCCCGUGAUAGAUGCAUCAAAAUCCAUGCUCAACUUCAAUCUCUACAUUGUAUCUGGCUAUCUUAGAUUAGGCAGUAGCUUGCCAGAAAUUUUUAUUUUUAUAAUAAUUGAAUUAAAAUAAUAAUAAUGAUAACAGAAACAUAUCCAAGACAACUCAUGUCAUGCAUGACAAAUUCUGAAAUUGGGCUUACUGGCUACUGCAUGAAAGGUAUUGCUCACUAACAAAUAUAAAAUACUAGUGCCCACAACGAUGUGAUGGAGUUGUGAGAUUACUGUCUUUAGUUAGAGGUUUCGAUUUUUAAUUUUAGAUAUGGAGAAAAUUUUAUUAGGAGUAUCACUCCCAAAUGAGCUUUGCAUUGCAUGAUUUGAAUUUAGGCGAAGCUCCAGCGGUGAGAAAUUACUAAACACAAUACAUACAAUAGUAGAAUUUAUUUAUUUUCUUGCGUCAAUUUGUUUGUCUUUUUUUAGACCGUUUGAUAAAAGUGUCUUUUUUCCUUUUUGGUAAUUAUUUAAUUUUUUAUUCUUUUACGUGAUAUAUUUAAGAUUAGAGAAUUAAAGAACGUUUUAGUACAUAUAUUUAAUUUAAGAUUUUAAAACUUAAAGGUCUUAUUUUCUUUUGUAAAUUACGUAUCAAAUUUAAAUUAGUUAAGUAAAUAAAAACAAAAUAUUUGUUUUGCAAGUAAGAUAAAUAGUCACUCUGCUGUCCAUCUGGUGUUUUUUUUAUAGUAUUAAAUAAAUUAAAAGAAAGAAACAAAAAGGAAGUACCGGCAAAAUUUGUCUUCUCAUCAAUUUCGUCACCUCAAACGUCAUAUGACAUGCAUGUGUUUAAAUUUGGUCCUCAAACACGUUACUCAAACGUAGAAAUGGACAUGAUACGAUAGAUAUCAAAAUUUUCAAUAUCGUAAUAUGCUCACCCCUACAAACUCCUUAUAUAUAUAUCCCUCUAACUAUCAUCAUAUAUACCACACAAUUAUUAAGAGUUAUCAUAAUAUAUACCACACAAUAAUUAAGAGACUUACAAGUCAAAGAUUUCUCUCACACAAUACUAAAGUCUACUUUCAUUCAUUUGUCCUCGAACUUUGAACUUAGGUUCUAUUUUUAAGUUUGUGAGUGUAAAAAUGGUGCAACCCCAUGUCCUCUUGGUGACAUUUCCCGCACAAGGUCAUAUCAAUCCAUCUCUUCAAUUUGCCAAGAGGCUAAUCAAAAUGGGCAUUGAGGUGACAUUCACCACUAGCGUUUUCGCCCAUCGUCGUAUGGCGAAAACUGCAGCUUCCAACGCACCCAAGGGCUUAAACUUGGCGGCAUUCUCUGACGGAUUUGAUGAUGGUUUCAAGUCUAACGUGGAUGAUUCUAAACGUUACAUGUCGGAGAUAAGAAGUCGUGGGUCCCAAACAUUAAGGGAUAUCAUUCUGAAGAGUUCAGACGAGGGACGUCCUGUCACGUCCCUCGUCUACACUCUUCUGCUACCUUGGGCAGCUGAGGUAGCGCGUGAACUCCACAUUCCAUCCGCGUUACUAUGGAUUCAACCAGCAACUGUGCUAGACAUAUACUACUAUUACUUCAAUGGCUAUGAGGAUGAAAUGAAGUGUAGCUCAAAUGAUCCAAAUUGGAGUAUCCAAUUACCAAGGCUUCCAUUACUAAAAAGCCAAGAUCUUCCAUCCUUUUUAGUUUCAUCUAGCUCAAAAGAUGAUAAGUAUAGUUUUGCUCUACCGACAUUUAAAGAGCAACUAGACACAUUAGAUGGUGAAGAAAAUCCAAAGGUACUUGUGAAUACAUUUGAUGCAUUAGAGCUAGAGCCACUCAAAGCUAUUGAAAAAUACAAUUUAAUUGGAAUUGGACCAUUGAUUCCUUCAUCAUUCUUGGGUGGAAAAGAUUCAUUGGAAUCUUCAUUUGGUGGUGAUCUUUUUCAAAAGUCAGAUGAUGACUACAUGGAAUGGUUAAACACAAAACCUAAAUCAUCAAUUGUUUAUAUCUCAUUUGGGAGUCUAUUAAAUUUAUCAAGAAACCAAAAGGAGGAGAUUGCAAAAGGGUUGAUAGAGAUUAAAAGGCCAUUCUUAUGGGUAAUAAGAGAUCAAGAAAAUAUAAAAGAAGUAGAAAAAGAAGAAGAGAAAUUAAGUUGCAUGAUGGAAUUAGAGAAGCAAGGGAAAAUAGUACCAUGGUGUUCACAACUUGAAGUCUUAACACAUCCAUCUUUAGGAUGUUUUGUCUCGCACUGUGGAUGGAAUUCGACUCUGGAGAGCCUGUCGUCAGGCGUACCUGUGGUGGCAUUUCCUCAUUGGACAGAUCAAGGGACUAAUGCAAAGUUGAUUGAAGAUGUUUGGAAGACAGGUGUCAGGAUGAGAGUGAGUGAAGAUGGUGUGGUUGAGAGUGAAGAGAUAAAAAGGUGCAUAGAAAUUGUAAUGGAUGGUGGAGAAAAAGGAGAAGAAAUGAGAAAGAAUGCACAAAAAUGGAAAGAAUUGGCAAGAGAAGCUGUGAAAGAAGGUGGAUCUUCAGAAGUGA